AUUUUCAGCAAUCUGUUUUUUUGCUCACAGACUUCCAAGUUAAAGUUGUAAACAGCCUGUGGAAUUGGAAAUAUCUUCACAUGCAUUUGAAGACUGUGUUUCUAUUUCAUGACCUCUGUUUCCUGCUGGCCCCUGAUCAUUCUGUUCUGAACUGUUUUCUGACCAGGUAGUUAUCCAUAAGGAGUAUAGUGGAGAGAAUGUUGAAUGCAGACUGUAGUGAGUGUCACAGGUUAUCUACUUGUCCACACAAGUGGAUACAGAUAAGAUACUGCACAGCACAAGCAAUAUCCCUCUUCAAAGAAGAGAAGGAUUCAAGCUGACUCUUAUCAACAGCUUACUGCAUAACUGAUAAUUCAAUUUCCAGCUUCUCUUAUUACAUUAGUUCAUCAUAUUGUCACCAACUGCAUGAAGUAACCAUGAAGUAACAGGUUUUGACCACGGAAACAGAUAGCAGUAGUAAGUGAUAUUGUUUCUACCAGAGCAUUUUCUUCCUCUAUUGCAUGCUUCUGUCUGCUCUGGAUCAGUAUGAGUAAUCACACCUGGACUGAUGAGUGGGUACUAAAACUGUAGUUUCA
RNAcentral lists this long non-coding RNA (575 nucleotides) under Gallus gallus (chicken). The record is from RNAcentral. Lineage: Eukaryota; Metazoa; Chordata; Aves; Galliformes; Phasianidae.